Molecule: long non-coding RNA, 1430 nt
Filed under: Triticum aestivum (bread wheat)
Lineage: Eukaryota; Viridiplantae; Streptophyta; Magnoliopsida; Poales; Poaceae
Description: long non-coding RNA (TAES_LNC015736)
Source: RNAcentral
CUCCUCACGCUGGCCUCCUCCAUCAAGGUCGUCGAGCUCCCUCUCCUCUGCAACGGCCUCGAGGUCGACACUACCACAGAAUUGUAAGAUUGGUACUGUGUAAUAUGAUGGUGCUUUGAAUUCGAUUUCUGUGAUGAACUAAAGAAUUUUGUAAGUUGAAUUACUUCUCGACUUGCUGCUCAUACAGCGCCUCGCUUCAAAUUCCACACUUCGUCCCGAUUCGGUUCAGGUAUAUGUUCUUGCGAGGUUGGGAGUGGGGUAUCUCCAGUGGUUCGUUGCCUAGGUUUGCUUCUUCAAGCUACGUGUGAGGGAGUUAGAAAUUGAUUCCUUUUUCCUGUCAAAACUGAUUUGUUCUAUGGCUAAAGUGGAAUGUACCAGACUGCUUGGUGCUUGAAAGCGCUUCCCGCGGAUGUUUCAGUAGCUUACCAUGUAGUCCAUAUUUGGCUUGUGGUGGUUUGAUGUUUUACCCGGAUGACCAUCUUUUAGCUGGGGUUGCUUCUUUGUUUAUCUUUGAGAGAUUGAGCUUCAGAUGUAUGCAUUAUUUUGUGUUGGUCUGUUCAUGUAUUGAUAGCAAUACAUGUGUGAUUGCGGCAGCAGUACUUUUCCUUAUUGUGCUCGCUUUUUUUUGGCAGAUUUAGACAGGACUUAAGAGUUUCUUGGUAAUUUUGUGAUUGUUUGAUUCUUCAGGAACACGUGUGUUUGAUUUUUCAAGAACAACUAGAUUGAACAUUAUAAUACUCCCUUCAUGCAUUCCUCUUGCAGAUUUGGUGUUCGUAUUUUUUUUUAUUCUGUAGACAAUCGCUCGUGAUCCAAUUAUUCAACAUAAAAUUGAAUAUAAAUGAAUAGAUUGUGUUAGUCCUACUUAUAUUAACUCAACUGUGUAAGCCUAACAAAAUUAGGCCGUGCAUUAUACCUCCUUGAUGCAUCCUGCUUUGUUGAGUUAUUAUAUUGUUUGAUUAUACCGACCUUAUUGGGGAAAUCCUCUUCAAAAAUAUUUUUAGCUUGCACUGAUGCUCUUGUUUUUUUAACCAUUUACCUUUUUAGAUACCAUGGGGUGAGGAGCAUUGCUUUGACCAUUCUAGAAUACACCAAGGACACAAGGAGUAUGUGCUGGGCUGCUGGUGUUUGCUGGAGCUACACUUGCUUCAUUGCUCCACCCAAGAAGCAUGUGCACACUGCAUACCAGAGAAUGCAGAGUGGUCCAUAAUUUAUUUGCUUGUGUUAGACUCCCUUUGUAUGAAAUGUAAGACUUUUUUGAGUCUCAAUCUAAACCAAACUGAAUACCAGAGAAAUGCACAUUUUGAUAUUGAGUAUAUCAUUUUCUUAUAUUAUACAACUUACCUUGAAGAUGUAAAACAUUCUUUUGGCUGGUAUAUACUCCCUCAAUGUAAAAGCAUAUACGUUCUACUUCAAUUUGUUUUGUAGUAUAU